UCGGGAAUUUUGGGCAAUGGGCGAAAGCCUGACCCAGCAACGCCGCGUGAGGGAUGAAGUAUUUCGGUAUGUAAACCUCGAAAGAAUGGGAAGAAUAAAUGACGGUACCAUUUAUAAGCUCUGGCUAACUACGUGCCAGCAGCCGCGGUAAUACGUAGGGAGCAAGCGUUGUUCGGAUUUACUGGGCGUAAAGGGCGCGUAGGCGGCGCGGUAAGUCACUUGUGAAAUCUCUGAGCUUAACUCAGAACGGCCAAGUGAUACUGCUGUGCUAGAGUGCGGAAGAGGCAACCGGAAUUCUUGGUGUAGCGGUGAAAUGCGUAGAUAUCAAGAGGAACACCUGAGGCGAAGGCGGGUUGCUGGGCCGACACUGACGCUGAUGCGCGAAAGCCAGGG
RNAcentral lists this ribosomal RNA (393 nucleotides) under uncultured bacterium. RNAcentral's name for it is "bacterial SSU rRNA". It matches the Rfam family "Bacterial small subunit ribosomal RNA", at positions 355 to 765 of the family's 1533-position model. The record is from RNAcentral.